This 459-nucleotide ribosomal RNA is filed under the name uncultured bacterium. RNAcentral's name for it is "partial 16S ribosomal RNA". It matches the Rfam family "Bacterial small subunit ribosomal RNA", at positions 338 to 795 of the family's 1533-position model. The record is from RNAcentral.
CCUACGGGAGGCUGCUGUGAGGAAUAUUGGUCAAUGGCCGAGAGGCUGAACCAGCCAAGUCGCGUGAGGGAAGACGGCCCUACGGGUUGUAAACCUCUUUUGUCGGGGAGCAAAGCGAGUCACGUGUGACCCCUUGAGUGUACCCGAAGAAAAAGCAUCGGCUAACUCCGUGCCAGCAGCCGCGGUAAUACGGAGGAUGCGAGCGUUAUCCGGAUUUAUUGGGUUUAAAGGGUGCGCAGGCGGAGGUGCAAGUCAGCGGUCAAAUGGCGGGGCUCAACCCCGGACUGCCGUUGAAACUGCAGGCCUGGAGUGGGCGAGAAGUAUGCGGAAUGCGUGGUGUAGCGGUGAAAUGCAUAGAUAUCGCGCAGAACUCCGAUUGCGAAGGCAGCAUACCGGCGCGCAACUGACGCUCAUGCACGAAAGCGUGGGUAUCGAACAGGAUUAGAUACCCUAGUAGUC